Molecule: unclassified non-coding RNA, 2274 nt
Filed under: Hevea brasiliensis (rubber tree)
Lineage: Eukaryota; Viridiplantae; Streptophyta; Magnoliopsida; Malpighiales; Euphorbiaceae
Source: RNAcentral
CAAGUUCAUAAAACCUUUAGUAGAAUUCACCUUCUUUGCUCGAUUUUCCUUUACAUAAAUUUUAUUUUCUUGGUAGAUAGGGGACUACUCCUUCCUAUGCAAGGUGACUCCAAUACUGUGCCAGCGACCUCUGGGGUUGUCGACGUGGCCACCGCGACUAUGGUCCAUGAAGAUGGUGAAGUUGGUGGUGGAGGUGGUGGUGCUCCAAAUUCAUCAGGUGAAGAAGAUAAGAGUAUUAUUAGGGUUGACGAAGGUGACCGGAUGAGCUAUGGUGCAAACCGGUGGCCAAGACAAGAAACUUUGGCCUUGUUGAAGAUAAGGUCAGACAUGGAUGCGGUGUUUCGUGACUCAAGCCUGAAAGGUCCAUUAUGGGAAGAGGUUUCCAGGUGAUUGAAUUUUAUUUAUUCUUUAAUUUUCUUUUCCAAUUUUCUAUUCCUAUAUGGGUUUAAUUAAUAAGCUGUUUCUAUUCAUGCAUGGAGAUCUAAUUGUGUUCACCUUUCUCUGAAUUGUUUAGUUUCUCUCUUUUCUUUUUGGAUCUUUCAAAAUCUUUAAUUGUAUUAUACAUGAUGGGACAUUUUAAAUUUUUCUUUGUCUUUGGAUCUUUCCCUUAAUUAAACAGAGAAGAAGGGAAUUGUUGAUAGAUCGGUAUCAACACAAAAGAGAAAAGUUAAUUAAUUUUAGUGUAAUUUGAUUUGAAUUUAGCUUAAUUUCUCUAUAAUCUAGGUUUCUUCUCUGUAGCUUUGUUUUGUUUAUUUUAAACACAAAAGAGAUUUUUUUUUUUCAUUUUAUAGUUUCUUUUUCUUUCUUUCUUUGUGGCUUAAUUCCUAGUAGAAGGAAGGAAUUGGCCUACUAAAUGUGUAUUGCUCCCAACAUGGUUGGUAUGGUUCCACAUGUCAUCAUAGUUUGUUAGGUCUUCUCUCAUCUUUUCUUUUCCAUUUCAAUCUUCAUUUUUUUUUUUUUUGGUUUUUUCUGUUUCUUCUUGUUUAUUUUAAGUCUAUCAAAUGAUUUUAGAUUUGUUCUACGAUUGAAUGUUUUUUCUUCUAAUCAAUGGGAUAAAGCCAGACAUGGAGUUCUUGAAAUGUUGUCAUCAGGAAACUAGCUGAGCUUGGUUAUCAUCGAAGUGCCAAGAAAUGUAAGGAAAAGUUCGAGAAUGUGUACAAGUACCACAAGCGAACCAAAGAAGGUCGAACCGGCAAAUCCGAAGGCAAAACUUAUAGAUUUUUCGAUCAAUUACAAGCUCUUGAAAAUCAUCAUCACCAUCAAUCCCAGCUAGCAACACCAGCACGGCCACCGUCGUUACCCAAACUUCAACCUCCAAUCACAACAACUGCUACAUUGCCUUGGUCUAAUAAUCUUCCUAAUGUUUCUCAUGCUGCUGUUCCAUCAACGACAAACACUGCGAAUAUUAUUGCUUCACAUCAGAACAAUAAUGUUGCUCCUUCAGCUGAUCCUGCAAUCAAUGCUAUGCCAUUAUCUUCAUCACAACCUUUAAAUCCUUCUCAAAAUAUUUUCCCAUCUUUUCAAAAUCUUACUUCUCAUCUUUUUUCGAGUUCUACUUCCUCCUCCACUGCAUCUGACGAAGGGUAUCAAACAACUCGAAAGAGAAAGAGAUCAAAAUGGAAGGAUUUCUUGGAGAGGCUAACGAAGGAUGUUAUGAAGAAGCAAGAAGAGUUGCAAAGGAAGUUCUUGGAAACUGUAGAGAAACGCGAGCAUGAAAGGAUGGCAUGCGAGGAAGCUUGGAGAAUGCAAGAGAUGGCAAGAAUUAAUAGAGAGCAUGAAAUUUUGAUCCAAGAACGGACCACCGCUGCUGCUAAAGAUGCUGCAGUUAUUGCAUUCUUGCAAAAAAUAUCGGGACAGCAAAACUCGAUACAAACGGUAGAUAUUCCACCACCACCACCACCACCAGUAGUGGCAGCGGCACCAGCAUCAGCCCCAGCUCCACCUCAGUCACCAGGACCGGCAUUGGCACCUGCAGCAGCGCCACCACAGCCUAGGCCAGCAGCACCACCUCCUUCGCUACCAGUAGUAAUGAAUUUGGAUGUUUCAAAAAAGGAUAAUGGACAGAAUAACGCCGUUGUAUCAAGCUCUUCUAGAUGGCCAAAAGUUGAAGUCCAAGCUCUUAUUAAUCUCAGAACCAAUCUUGAAACUAAGUAUCAAGAAAAUGGACCUAAAGGACCUCUGUGGGAGGAAAUCUCAGCAGGAAUGCAAAAGCUUGGAUAUAACAGGAGUGCGAAAAGAUGCAAAGAGAAAGGGGAGAAUAUAAACAAGUAUUUC